Molecule: ribosomal RNA, 301 nt
Filed under: uncultured bacterium
Lineage: Bacteria
Description: partial 16S ribosomal RNA
Rfam family: Bacterial small subunit ribosomal RNA
Source: RNAcentral
CAGCCGCCACGGUAAUCCGUAGGGUGCAAGCGUUAAUCGGAAUUACUGGGCGUAAAGCGUGCGCAGGCGGUUGUGUAAGACAGGUGUGAAAUCCCCGGGCUUAACCUGGGAACUGCGCUUGUGACUGCACAGCUAGAGUAUGGCAGAGGGGGGUGGAAUUCCACGUGUAGCAGUGAAAUGCGUAGAGAUGUGGAGGAACACCGAUGGCGAAGGCAGCCCCCUGGGCCAAUACUGACGCUCAUGCACGAAAGCGUGGGGAGCAAACAGGAUUAGAGACCCGUGUAGUCCCUGUCUCUUAUAC